ACGAGCUAAUCCAAUCCAAUCCCCAAUUCCUUCCCCUGCUCGUCUCCCAACCAACGGAGCCCAACUCCGGCGCCGAUCUCCUCUGCCCCAGCCACUCGGCCUCGUCGGCGCGGCGGCCUCCUCUCCCCCAUCCACGCCGCCGACCUCCCUCUCCUUCUCUCCCAUGGCGCCGAAACCCUAGCCACGACGACCUAGCAGCAGCAGGCAGGACGAGCCCGGCCAUGGCCAUGGCCUCCUCUUCCCCUCUGCCCUGCCACGGCCGCCGCUCCAGCCCCUCCUCUCCUCUCCUCUCCUCUCCUCUCCUCUUCUCUUCUCUCCCAAGGGAGGGGAGGGGAGGGGAGGGGAGGGGAGGGAAGGGAAGCCAAGGCCCCAGAUCAAGCGGAGCGGCGCCCAGAUCCGCCCGCAGCGGCACCGACGAUCUGAUCCGCGACCCUCCUCGAGGUCGGCCAUGGAGCGCGGCGGCAGCCAUGGACGGCGACGCCCGAAACCCUAGCUAGCCCUCAACCUCCAAGGACGCGCGCCGGCUGCUCUCGGCGGGGAGCACCUCGACGCCGGCCAAAGGCCAUCACCAUCCCCAUCACCAGCAUCCCGCGUGCGUGAGUCAAGGAGGAAAGAGGAGGAGGCCAUCGCCAUGCUCAGAUCCAUAGCUCCUCUUUUCUCUUCAAUUUUGUCAAACUUGAAUGUGAUGAACAGGGUCAUGAUACUAGUGCUUGAGUCAUGAUACGCACACCCCAAACCUCAUCAUCUUCAUGCUUGCAACUUGUAGGUAAAAACACAUUUUAUUCAAACUAAUUCAGAAUGGUCGUCGGGGGAGAUCCACGGUUGAUCAAU
Molecule: long non-coding RNA, 831 nt
Organism: Triticum dicoccoides
Lineage: Eukaryota; Viridiplantae; Streptophyta; Magnoliopsida; Poales; Poaceae
Exons: 2
Source: RefSeq, a predicted model, not a curated record